UACGUAGGGCGCAAGCGUUGUCCGGAAUUAUUGGGCGUAAAGAGCUCGUAGGCGGUUUGUCGCGUCUGCUGUGAAAACCUAAGGCUCAACCUUGGGCUUGCAGUGGGUACGGGCAGACUAGAGUGCGGUAGGGGUGACUGGAAUUCCUGGUGUAGCGGUGGAAUGCGCAGAUAUCAGGAGGAACACCGAUGGCGAAGGCAGGUCACUGGGCCGCAACUGACGCUGAGGAGCGAAAGCCAGGGGAGCGAACGGG
Molecule: ribosomal RNA, 253 nt
Filed under: uncultured bacterium
Lineage: Bacteria
Description: partial 16S ribosomal RNA
Rfam family: Bacterial small subunit ribosomal RNA
Source: RNAcentral